CCCCGCCUAGCUCAAUCGGAUAGAGCGUCAGACUCUUAUGGACCAUAUAGCUAGGCGAUCUGAAGGCUGCGAGUUCGACCCUCGCGGUGGGCU
Molecule: non-coding RNA, 93 nt
Organism: Mucidula mucida
Lineage: Eukaryota; Fungi; Basidiomycota; Agaricomycetes; Agaricales; Physalacriaceae
Source: the annotation of a GenBank genome assembly